This is a long non-coding RNA of Spinacia oleracea (spinach), 1124 nucleotides long. RefSeq lists it as uncharacterized. The record is from RefSeq and is a predicted model, not a curated record. The transcript is spliced from 5 exons. Lineage: Eukaryota; Viridiplantae; Streptophyta; Magnoliopsida; Caryophyllales; Amaranthaceae.
GAAAAAUAUUCAUUCAAUUGAGAAACAAACACUGUGUUCUUCUUCAAUGGGAAGGUGGAAAAUCGGACUCCAUAUCUCUUCAAGGAGAUACAGACUUGGAUCAUGAAGAGGUUUCAUGCCAAUCCAAGCACAAACAUUGAACUGAAAUAUCUGUCAGAGCUGUCUAUUGGGGAAUCAGAACUUUCAUCCCUUUUCUUAGGAAUCAGAACUUCAGUUAAGGUUAUUUAUCUAUCAGGAAACCUUUCUUUCUGAAACUUUCAUUAAUUUAAUCUUUGAACUUGCAGAGUGAUCAUCUAAACCUGGUCAUCGUACACUUGAAGGAUUUGAGCUCAUUGUGUUCUGUACUUUAAGGAAACUGUUAGAGAACUUCAUCCAAGUUUGUCGUAGUCUGAAGAAUCACAUAGCAUAAUUACUGAUACACUUAAGCAGCUGGAGUCUGCUGUAUUCAGAUUGCGAGAGCUUAAGCUUCAGAGAUGCAGAAGACCCAGGAGCAACAAAAUCGCGCUAAAACCAGCAUACUGGAACCUCUUUUCCACACAACUUCAACAAUGUCAGCAGCAGUGGAGCAAACUCCGCAACCCUUCAUUCUUCGCCUUCAACAAUCCCUCGUCUCCUGCUCCAAGGCAGUUGAAGCUGGUGAUUUUCGUCAAUCGGAAUAAGUAAUUUCUGGGAUUGUUGAGUUUCUCAGCUCAAUUUCUGAUGCUGCUGUUUCAGAUUUUGACGAUAAAGAAACCCAGAACAAUUCAAUCGUUGUUCUCUCUCAUAUUCACUCUUUCCUUUGAAACCCUUCUCUUGAUCAGGCUAUUGUCGAUGCCCUUUCAUUUGAGUUGCCCAAAGCUAUUUCCAAGUUUGCAGGAGUGUCCGAGAGGUCUACACUCCGAGGAUUGCGCCUUAUGCGAGGAAUUUGAUGUGGUUCGUGAGCAAUGGGCUAAGUUUUUUACCAGCAAGUAUUUAUUAUUGGCUUUAGCGCGCUUGAUCGAGUUGGUUUAGUUGUUAUAGAAUAAAUUUUAUAUUAAAAUGUAUGUUUAUGUUGAAAUUGGAACAUAUAUUUAAAUGUAAUAUGUGCACUUUGGUUUUGGGAUAUAUAGUAUACAAAACUCCAGUUGUUGUUUUUAUAUUUGUUA